This is a long non-coding RNA of Populus trichocarpa (black cottonwood), 1220 nucleotides long. RefSeq lists it as uncharacterized. NCBI's taxonomy places the organism in Eukaryota, Viridiplantae, Streptophyta, Magnoliopsida, Malpighiales, Salicaceae. The transcript has 2 exons. The record is from RefSeq and is a predicted model, not a curated record.
UUUUACCCUAAUUAUGCAUGUGAACUUGGAUAAUUAAUCUGCCCUAGCUAGAUUGAAUUCCAAAUCUAUAUGCAGCUUAAUUAAUUAAUCAUGUUCAUCAUUGCAGCACAUGGAAUGGUUUCUACGCGUUAGUAUUUUCCAAACUAGGAUCUUAACAUUAACUAGAAGCUGUACAGUCGUGUUGAAACUGAAGGGGAAAGUUCUAAAUUUCAAAAAAAGUGACUUCAAGUUGUUAAGAUUGUAUAGUCCUAUUCUGUGUGCCCAACAAAAGCCCCCACCAAUUCAACCAGCUUAUUGGUCUGUAGACUUUCUGAAAUGGUAAUAAAAAAAGGCCAAAGAAAAGGAGAACCCUCUUCUUUUUUUUCCUUCAUCUUCUCGGCAUUCCUCGUCGAUUGCUGGCCUUUGUAAUCAUGAGUCCUCAUGCCAUCAUUAUCAUGAAAAGCUUCUCUCUCUUUUUCUUUCAUAUGCAGAUACAAGCACGACCGCAUUACCCCAUCUAUAUAACUCACAUUUGGUUUCUCUUAGUUUCUACCAUCUACUACAAGCCCCAAAACCCACCUUGCUUGUAAUCUUUGCUCUCCUUUUUCCCCCCUUACGUAUCUUUUUACAGGAAAAAGAACAGUCACCCAUUUCUCUGUGACGCAGAAACUAAACUUUAAAGGGGGGAAAAUGUGUACUGGUACUUGUUCGAAACUGAGCCCAUGCAGUCCCUUGUAUAUUGCUCUUAGCAAUCAACAGCCAUCAAAAGGACACAACCUUCGAUAUCAUAGACUCAACCGAAGGAGAAGGUUGUCAAAAGGGAAGAGGGUGGCACUGGUACUGGUCAAGAAAGAGAUGGAAAUCAAGAACUUGAAACUGUACAUGGAGAAUAAAAGCAUCAUAGAAGAGAAUGAGAAGCUGAGAAAGAAAGCAUUUCUUCUACACCAGGAAAAUCAAGCUUUGCUUUAUCAGCUCCAAAAGAAGCGCUCUAAUCCUCGCCAUGACCACUUGGCUCACAGCAACAACUAAUAUAUAUGACCAUAUAUCUAUGUAGGAGAAGUUACUGUAUGCAGAUCAAGUACAAGAAGAUUAAUAGGAAGCAAGAGUCUGCCUUCUUUAAUCUUUUUCUAUCUUCUCACCUUGUCCUUUAUUCUUUUCUUCUUUGUUUUUUGACUAGUAAGCUUAGUAGUAGUUUCGUUAAUAUUAUUGGGAUAUUGGGAAUAAAUAAGGUAAUUGUUUUA